ACGAACGCUGGCGGCAUGCCUAACACAUGCAAGUCGAACGCCCCCUUCGGGGGGAGUGGCGCACGGGUGCGUAACGCUUGGGAACCUGCCCUUAGGUUCGGAAUAACUCAGAGAAAUUUGAGCUAAUACCGGAUAAUGUCUUCGGACCAAAGAUUUAUCGCCUUUGGAUGGGCCCGCGUAGGAUUAGGUAGUUGGUGGGGUAAAGGCCUACCAAGCCGACGAUCCUUAGCUGGUCUGAGAGGAUGAUCAGCCACACUGGGACUGAGACACGGCCCAGAAUCCUACGGGAGGGAGCAGUGGGGAAUAUUGGACAAUGGGCGAAAGCCUGAUCCAGCAAUGCGGCGUGAGUGAUGAAGGCCUUAGGGUUGUAAAGCUCUUUUACCAGGGAUGAUAAUGACAGUACCUGGAGAAUAAGCUCCGGCUAACUCCGU
This 431-nucleotide ribosomal RNA is filed under the name uncultured bacterium. Its description in RNAcentral is "bacterial SSU rRNA". It matches the Rfam family "Bacterial small subunit ribosomal RNA", at positions 29 to 506 of the family's 1533-position model. The record is from RNAcentral.